RNAcentral lists this ribosomal RNA (252 nucleotides) under uncultured bacterium. Its description in RNAcentral is "partial 16S ribosomal RNA". It matches the Rfam family "Bacterial small subunit ribosomal RNA", at positions 524 to 776 of the family's 1533-position model. The record is from RNAcentral.
UACGGAGGAUGCGAGCGUUAUCCGGAUUUAUUGGGUUUAAAGGGUGCGUAGGCGGGAUGCCAAGUCAGCGGUAAAAAUGCGGUGCUCAACGCCGUCGAGCCGUUGAAACUGGCGUUCUUGAGUGGGCGAGAAGUAUGCGGAAUGCGUGGUGUAGCGGUGAAAUGCAUAGAUGUCACGCAGAACUCCGAUUGCGAAGGCAGCAUACCGGCGCCCUACUGACGCUGAGGCACGAAAGCGUGGGUAUCGAACAGG